This is a long non-coding RNA of Monopterus albus (swamp eel), 1785 nucleotides long. RefSeq lists it as uncharacterized. The record is from RefSeq and is a predicted model, not a curated record. The transcript has 3 exons. NCBI's taxonomy places the organism in Eukaryota, Metazoa, Chordata, Actinopteri, Synbranchiformes, Synbranchidae.
AGUCUCUCGUGAUGCAUGGCACUCUCCAGCAAUUCCCGCUUUCUUGGGUUCCUGACACACUGACUUGUUCCAUUUCAUGCCUCUGUGAUGCCCAUGCUUAUGCUGUAUGUCUGCCUCUCUCGCUGGUUUUUUGGAUGACUGCCUGUCUAUGGAUUUUCUCUGUUGUGCUGAUUGUGUUCUGCCCCUGGUUCCUCUGUAUAUUUGUGGAUUGCUCCAGCUUCCCCUGGCCAAGGCGUCCGUCAUCUCACAUACCUGGUCACCCCUGGACACUCCUAGAUGUUCCUAGCUGACAGGAGUGCCACCCGGUGUGGUCUUCUGCAUCAAGGUUUGAUGUGUUGUGCAUUCAGAGAUGCUCUUCCGCAUACCUUGGUUGUAAUGACUGGUAAUUCUGCAUGCUUGUCCAACCAAUGAGAGGCAUGAACAAUGAAAUGUGAUGCAAGCAAUCACAGUUGUUUGUGUCACUGAUGUGCAGUUACAUUUCUGGAGAGGUGCACGUCAGUCAAUUGCGUAAGCUACAGUGUAGAAUAAAGGCUGCAUGUUAACCAAUGCUAGAUUUAACACAGCACCAUAAAUCAAGUUUAAGAUCAUCCUUUUUUCCCCAUUCAGAUGCUUGGUUUAAACUUCAGCAGACUGUCUUGACCCUGUCUACAUGCCUAAAUGCACUAAGUUGCUGCCAUAUGAUUGGCUGAGUACAUAUUUGCAGUUGAAUAAGUAUACCUAAUAAAGUGGCUGCUGAGUGUAUGUGCAAAUAAUUUCCAGAAGUUAAAGCAGACUGACAGCUGAGCUGAUGUCACCAGGAGCUGAUGCUACUUAUCAUGAUGGUUCAAAGGAAAAGCAUAGUGUCCACAGGGCCAGGAAACAUCUCGGAGAAGACUUUUGAGGAAAUAAUUGACUAACCUUGAUUUCCAGGCAGUGAAGCGCAGAUACAUUCACUGAUCCAUCCUAAACAGGCCUGCCUGUUGCAGCUAAAGACUUUGUAUGCGAAUGCAAACUUCCCCCUCAAGCAGGCUAAGGCUGUGUUCAGACUGAGUUUCAAAGGUGUGGAAAAAUGCAGCCCUCUCCAUGCAUUCAUAUGGGGGAUUGCAUUCACUGCAAACGGCACCAGCACUGCAGGGGUCUCUGGUAAAAUGAUGCAACCCCAUGUGGUGAGAAAGUUGGAUCUGAUUCAACUUUUGCCGCACUGGUCAGUGACAUCAUCUGGUAAAGGUGUUGCGUUGACCAAUCACGUACGGGGGAAAGAGGGAAACCUCAACACCCACAGAUUGAUCGUGUUUCCCUUUUACCAGCCUGCCACCCACUCGUCUACACCAGGCAGAUCCCCCCGGUUAGUCCAGACUCUCCUUCAUCAACCACCUCACCAUCCUGCCCAACAUCAUCGGCCCAAACGGCACCAGCGCAGCUGCUUCCCUAUGGUGCAACUGGCCCCUCUCCUGAACAGUGCCUCCAACUAGAGCUCCCUGCACCCAUCUUCCAAGCAUCCCAUCAGAGCUACCUGCUUGCUUCAACCCUAUUUGGAUCAGUACCUGCCAAGAGAGAAUCACUAUUGUGACUGUCUUGUUCUCGCCAUUUCCUGAACUUCUGUGUACAAUAAACUUCUUAAAAACAUUUCCGAGUUCAAGUCCGGCAUUUGAGUCCAGAACUUGAAUUCGGACCUAUUGGUCUUAACAGUACCAUUUUGUGCAUUUUACAUAUGAUUCCCUUUUCCCUUUUUGUGCAUACAGUAGCUAAACAAGCUUAUUUAGAACUGGCAGUUUCAUGUCAUCUUUUUUUUUUUCUCAGUAAAUA